Non-coding RNA from Prunus avium (sweet cherry), 224 nucleotides. Lineage: Eukaryota; Viridiplantae; Streptophyta; Magnoliopsida; Rosales; Rosaceae. The record is from RefSeq and is a predicted model, not a curated record.
CAUGAAAUGUAGGAAAACAAUCAAGAAGGUGGGAAGUGAAGAGCACCACUUAUGGCAGAAAAAAGACUCGGCUGGGUCUGGGCAAAAGGCACUCAAUCUUGUCAGAAUUGUCUCCGGACUUCCUAAUGAGAAAGAGACAGUUUAUGGAGCAUUAGAUAAAUGGACAGCUUGGGAGACUGAUGAGUUUCCAUUGAUUGCAGCGGUUAAGGCCUUGAGAAUCCUAA